UACGGAGGGGGCUAGCGUUGUUCGGAAUUACUGGGCGUAAAGCGCACGUAGGCGGCGAUCUAAGUCAGAGGUGAAAGCCCGGGGCUCAACCCCGGAAUAGCCUUUGAAACUGGAAAGCUAGAAUCUUGGAGAGGUCAGUGGAAUUCCGAGUGUAGAGGUGAAAUUCGUAGAUAUUCGGAAGAACACCAGUGGCGAAGGCGACUGACUGGACAAGUAUUGACGCUGAGGUGCGAAAGCGUGGGGAGCAAACAGGAUUAGAUACCCGGGUAGU
RNAcentral lists this ribosomal RNA (271 nucleotides) under uncultured bacterium. RNAcentral's name for it is "partial 16S ribosomal RNA". It matches the Rfam family "Bacterial small subunit ribosomal RNA", at positions 524 to 794 of the family's 1533-position model. The record is from RNAcentral.